Molecule: long non-coding RNA, 229 nt
Filed under: Homo sapiens (human)
Lineage: Eukaryota; Metazoa; Chordata; Mammalia; Primates; Hominidae
Description: HSALNT0329281
Source: RNAcentral
CUUCACUUCAGCCUGGGUGAAAGAGCGAAAUGCUGUCUCAAAAAAGAGAAAAAAAAGAGAAUGAAUAUGAUACAUUUAUAGUGUUAUAUAAAGAUCACUCUGACUGCUACAUGGAAAAUGUGCUGGGGAGAAACAAGACUGCAGGAAAUAAGAGCAGUGAACAAGCUCUUGCUGUAAUUCAAGUCAGGUGUAGAAGCUGGAGCUGGAGCAGCCAUUCUGAACUAUGUCG